Ananas comosus (pineapple) is the source of this 107-nucleotide non-coding RNA. The record is from Rfam. NCBI's taxonomy places the organism in Eukaryota, Viridiplantae, Streptophyta, Magnoliopsida, Poales, Bromeliaceae.
GGAACAAAUCAUACCAACACUAAAGCACCAGAUCCCAUAAGAACUCCACAGUUAAGCGUGCUUGAGCUAGAAAAUAGUAGGAUGGGUGAAGAAAGGAAAAUGUUUAA